GCGAACGGUGUCCCCAGUGCGCGUUCAAAGCCCGGUGCGCUACAUACCAGCCCCCCGCAAGUGCCAUGCGAGUGCAGGCAUCGAGCCAGGGCGGAUGGUGCCAGCUCAGCGCGUCUGGUCUCCAGUGCGCCUCCUCGGUCCAGGUUAUCCUGCGCCGGCUUUGCGCACUGUGUCUCCAGAGCGCUGGGAGGGUCCAGUUCGCCCAAUGCCUGCUCUCCGCCUGUGCCGGGCCAAAGUGGGCAUUCAGCCUGGAGUGUGGGUAAAGAGUGUCCGUACCAGAACUCCAGUGCUCCCCCACAGCCCGGUUUAUCCUGUGCCUCCUCCUCGGACCAGGCCUCCAGUGGGUCUCCCCAUCCUGGUCCAUCCUGUGCCACCUCCCAGGACCAGGCCUCCAGUGGGUCUCCCCAUCCUGGUCCAUCCUGUGCCACCUCCCAGGACCAGGCCUCCAGUGGGUCUCCCCAUCCUGGUCCAUCCUGUGCCACCUCCCAGGACCAGGCCUCCAGUGGGUCUCCCCAUCCUGGUCCAUCCUGUGCCACCUCCCAGGACUAGGCCUCCAGUGGGUCUCCCCAUCCUGGUCCGUCCUGUGCCACCUCCCAGGACUAGGCCUCCAGUGGGUCUCACCUGUCCAGAGCAGUCAGAGCUGCCCGCCAGUCAACAGUCGUCAGAGCUUCCCGCCAGUCAACAGUCGUCAGAGCUUCCCGCCAGUCAACAGUCGUCAGAGCUUCCCGCCAGUCAACAGUCGUCAGAGCUUCCCGCCAGUCAACAGUCGUCAGAGCUUCCCGCCAGUCAACAGUCGUCAGAGCUUCCCGCCAGUCAACAGUCGUCAGAGCUUCCCGCCAGUCAACAGUCGUCAGAGCUGCCCGCCAGUCAACAGUCGCCAGAGAGGCCAGACUGCGCUGAACUGCCGGAGUGGCCAGACUGCGCUGAACUGCCGGAGUGGCCAGACUGCGCUGAACUGCCGGAGUGGCCAGACUGCGCUGAACUGCCGGAGUGGCCAGGGACGCCCGCCAGCCCGGUGAGUCCUGUGCCUACGCCUAGGGCCAGGCCUCUGUCAUGUCUCCCCAGCCUGGUGAAUCCUGG
This 1080-nucleotide long non-coding RNA is filed under the name Salmo trutta (river trout). RNAcentral describes it as "lncRNA (ENSSTUG00000007659.1)". Lineage: Eukaryota; Metazoa; Chordata; Actinopteri; Salmoniformes; Salmonidae. The record is from RNAcentral.